RNAcentral lists this long non-coding RNA (1747 nucleotides) under Homo sapiens (human). RNAcentral's name for it is "long non-coding RNA NONHSAT168541.1". The record is from RNAcentral. Lineage: Eukaryota; Metazoa; Chordata; Mammalia; Primates; Hominidae.
CUUUUUGCUGAAGACACAGAAGCAAAGAACCCAUUUUCUACUCAGGACACAGAUUUAGACUUGGAGAUGUUAGCUCCCUAUAUCCCAAUGGAUGAUGACUUCCAGUUACGUUCCUUCGAUCAGUUGUCACCAUUAGAAAGCAGUUCCGCAAGCCCUGAAAGCGCAAGUCCUCAAAGCACAGUUACAGUAUUCCAGCAGACUCAAAUACAAGAACCUACUGCUAAUGCCACCACUACCACUGCCACCACUGAUGAAUUAAAAACAGUGACAAAAGACCGUAUGGAAGACAUUAAAAUAUUGAUUGCAUCUCCAUCUCCUACCCACAUACAUAAAGAAACUACUAGUGCCACAUCAUCACCAUAUAGAGAUACUCAAAGUCGGACAGCCUCACCAAACAGAGCAGGAAAAGGAGUCAUAGAACAGACAGAAAAAUCUCAUCCAAGAAGCCCUAACGUGUUAUCUGUCGCUUUGAGUCAAAGAACUACAGUUCCUGAGGAAGAACUAAAUCCAAAGAUACUAGCUUUGCAGAAUGCUCAGAGAAAGCGAAAAAUGGAACAUGAUGGUUCACUUUUUCAAGCAGUAGGAAUUGGAACAUUAUUACAGCAGCCAGACGAUCAUGCAGCUACUACAUCACUUUCUUGGAAACGUGUAAAAGGAUGCAAAUCUAGUGAACAGAAUGGAAUGGAGCAAAAGACAAUUAUUUUAAUACCCUCUGAUUUAGCAUGUAGACUGCUGGGGCAAUCAAUGGAUGAAAGUGGAUUACCACAGCUGACCAGUUAUGAUUGUGAAGUUAAUGCUCCUAUACAAGGCAGCAGAAACCUACUGCAGGGUGAAGAAUUACUCAGAGCUUUGGAUCAAGUUAACUGAGCUUUUUCUUAAUUUCAUUCCUUUUUUUGGACACUGGUGGCUCAUUACCUAAAGCAGUCUAUUUAUAUUUUCUACAUCUAAUUUUAGAAGCCUGGCUACAAUACUGCACAAACUUGGUUAGUUCAAUUUUGAUCCCCUUUCUACUUAAUUUACAUUAAUGCUCUUUUUUAGUAUGUUCUUUAAUGCUGGAUCACAGACAGCUCAUUUUCUCAGUUUUUUGGUAUUUAAACCAUUGCAUUGCAGUAGCAUCAUUUUAAAAAAUGCACCUUUUUAUUUAUUUAUUUUUGGCUAGGGAGUUUAUCCCUUUUUCGAAUUAUUUUUAAGAAGAUGCCAAUAUAAUUUUUGUAAGAAGGCAGUAACCUUUCAUCAUGAUCAUAGGCAGUUGAAAAAUUUUUACACCUUUUUUUUCACAUUUUACAUAAAUAAUAAUGCUUUGCCAGCAGUACGUGGUAGCCACAAUUGCACAAUAUAUUUUCUUAAAAAAUACCAGCAGUUACUCAUGGAAUAUAUUCUGCGUUUAUAAAACUAGUUUUUAAGAAGAAAUUUUUUUUGGCCUAUGAAAUUGUUAAACCUGGAACAUGACAUUGUUAAUCAUAUAAUAAUGAUUCUUAAAUGCUGUAUGGUUUAUUAUUUAAAUGGGUAAAGCCAUUUACAUAAUAUAGAAAGAUAUGCAUAUAUCUAGAAGGUAUGUGGCAUUUAUUUGGAUAAAAUUCUCAAUUCAGAGAAAUCAUCUGAUGUUUCUAUAGUCACUUUGCCAGCUCAAAAGAAAACAAUACCCUAUGUAGUUGUGGAAGUUUAUGCUAAUAUUGUGUAACUGAUAUUAAACCUAAAUGUUCUGCCUACCCUGUUGGUAUAAAGAUAUUUUGAGCAGACUGUAAAC